This 495-nucleotide ribosomal RNA is filed under the name uncultured bacterium. Its description in RNAcentral is "partial 16S ribosomal RNA". It matches the Rfam family "Bacterial small subunit ribosomal RNA", at positions 28 to 507 of the family's 1533-position model. The record is from RNAcentral.
GACGAACGCUGGCGGCGUGCCUAAUACAUGCAAGUAGAACGCUGAAGGAGGAGCUUGCUUCUCUGGAUGAGUUGCGAACGGGUGAGUAACGCGUAGGUAACCUGCCUGGUAGCGGGGGAUAACUAUUGGAAACGAUAGCUAAUACCGCAUAAUAGCAGUUGUUGCAUGAUAACUGUUUGAAAGGUGCAAUUGCACCACUACCAGAUGGACCUGCGUUGUAUUAGCUAGUUGGUGGGGUAACGGCUCACCAAGGCGACGAUACAUAGCCGACCUGAGAGGGUGAUCGGCCACACUGGGACUGAGACACGGCCCAGACUCCUACGGGAGGCAGCAGUAGGGAAUCUUCGGCAAUGGACGGAAGUCUGACCGAGCAACGCCGCGUGAGUGAAGAAGGUUGUCGGAUCGUAAAGCUCUGUUGUAAGAGAAGAACGAGGGUGAGAGUGGAAAGUUCACACUGUGACGGUAUCUUACCAGAAAGGGACGGCUAACUACGUG